Long non-coding RNA from Helianthus annuus (common sunflower), 625 nucleotides. RefSeq lists it as uncharacterized. The record is from RefSeq and is a predicted model, not a curated record. The transcript is spliced from 2 exons. NCBI's taxonomy places the organism in Eukaryota, Viridiplantae, Streptophyta, Magnoliopsida, Asterales, Asteraceae.
UUUUUAAACCAAGUCUAUAUUUUUUUAUAAAAAAUUGAAACAUUUCUUAUCGAAUUAGGUGGUACUGAAACCAAAGCAUCAACUGGGGAUUGAGAUCUUUAAAGAUGACGUUAGAGUUCAAAAUAUCAGUUCCAACCCCAUAUGAAAAUAUAUCUUAAGGCAACUCAUUUAGACUUGAAACAAGACCAAAUGUCGUUAUACUUGAUGGAUCUUUGCCUCGUGGAAUACAAGAUGACUAAGUUCGCGCAUCUUUCUUGGCUACAGCUAUUUUGUACACUGCUCAGUGUAGUCUUCAUGGAUAUAAACAAUGGUCCAAGACUUCUUAAUGGCAUACAAACUACUAUGAAGAUCAGCUUAUAGAAUGCGUGAUGAUGAUCUUACAAUACCACUAAACGCCAGCAACCAGGAUAUUUAGGGUGGCUUACAUAUUUCGUUUCGUUACAGCUACUUGAGUUUAAUAGCUUAGGAAAUAACCUGGGAGCUUGCUAAUCUAGAGCUGCAAUAUUUUUUAUCUGCACUAAGAUCGAUUCAUUUGAUGUAUUCCACUAGAAUUAGGCUCCUUAUAAAAGAUUCGCCAUUGUACUUUUCAUCUUUCCUAAUACCACUCUGUUAUACUUUUAAUUUA